UAGCCGUAAACGAUACUCGCUAGGUGUCGGCCACGGUGCGACCGUUGUCGGUGCCGUAGGGAAGCCGUGAAGCGAGCCACCUGGGAAGUACGGCCGCAAGGCUGAAACUUAAAGGAUUGGCGGGGGAGCACCACAACGGGUGGAGCUUGCGGUUUAAUUGGAUUCAACGCCGGAAAUCUUACCGGGACCGACAGCAACAUGAAGGCCAGGCUGAAGACUUUGCCGGAUUAGCUGAGAGGUGGUGCAUGGCGUAGUCGUGU
RNAcentral lists this ribosomal RNA (260 nucleotides) under uncultured archaeon. RNAcentral's name for it is "partial 16S ribosomal RNA". It matches the Rfam family "Archaeal small subunit ribosomal RNA", at positions 748 to 1009 of the family's 1478-position model. The record is from RNAcentral.